This 253-nucleotide ribosomal RNA is filed under the name uncultured bacterium. Its description in RNAcentral is "partial 16S ribosomal RNA". It matches the Rfam family "Bacterial small subunit ribosomal RNA", at positions 524 to 776 of the family's 1533-position model. The record is from RNAcentral.
UACGUAGGUGGCAAGCGUUGUCCGGAAUUAUUGGGCGUAAAGCGCGCGCAGGCGGUCUUUUAAGUCUGAUGUGAAAGCCCACGGCUCAACCGUGGAGGGUCAUUGGAAACUGGGGAACUUGGGUGCAGAAGAGGAAAGUGGAAUUCCAAGUGUAGCGGUGAAAUGCGUAGAGAUUUGGAGGAACACCAGUGGCGAAGGCGACUUUCUGGUCUGUAACUGACACUGAGGCGCGAAAGCGUGGGGAGCAAACGGG